This 460-nucleotide ribosomal RNA is filed under the name uncultured bacterium. RNAcentral describes it as "partial 16S ribosomal RNA". It matches the Rfam family "Bacterial small subunit ribosomal RNA", at positions 338 to 795 of the family's 1533-position model. The record is from RNAcentral.
CCUACGGGUGGCUGCAGUGAGGAAUAUUUGUCAAUGGGCGCGAGCCUGAACCAGCCAAGUAGCGUGAAGGAUGACUGCCCUACGGGUUGUAAACUUCUUUUAUAAAGGAAUAAAGUGAGGCACGUUUGCCUUUUUGUAUGUACUUUAUGAAUAAGGCUCGGCUAACUCCGUGCCAGCAGCCGCGGUAAUACGGAGGAUCCGAGCGUUAUCCGGAUUUAUGGGGUUUAAAGGGAGCGUAGAUGGGUUGUUAAGUCAGUUGUGAACGUUUGCGUUUCAACCGUAAAAUUGCAAUUGAUACUGGUAGCCUUGAGUACAGUUGAGGUAGGCGGAAUUCGUGGUGUAGCGGUGAAAUGCGUAGAUAUCACGAAGAACUCCGAUUGCGAAGGCAGCUUACUAAACUGCCACUGACAUUGAUGCUCGAAAGUGUGGGUAUCAAACAGGAUUAGAUACCCCUGUAGUC